This 497-nucleotide ribosomal RNA is filed under the name uncultured bacterium. RNAcentral describes it as "partial 16S ribosomal RNA". It matches the Rfam family "Bacterial small subunit ribosomal RNA", at positions 28 to 507 of the family's 1533-position model. The record is from RNAcentral.
GAUGAACGCUGGCGGCGUGCCUAAUACAUGCAAGUCGAGCGAACAGACGAGGAGCUUGCUCCUCUGACGUUAGCGGCGGACGGGUGAGUAACACGUGGAUAACCUACCUAUAAGACUGGGAUAACUUCGGGAAACCGGAGCUAAUACCGGAUAAUAUAUUGAACCGCAUGGUUCAAUAGUGAAAGACGGUUUUGCUGUCACUUAUAGAUGGGUCCGCGCCGCAUUAGCUAGUUGGUAAGGUAACGGCUUACCAAGGCAACGAUGCGUAGCCGACCUGACAGGGUGAUCGGCCACACGGGAACUGAAACACGGUCCAGACUCCUACGGGAGGCAGCAGUAGGGAAUCUUCCGCAAUGGGCGAAAGCUUGACGGAGCAACGCCGCGUGAGUGAUGAAGGUCUUCGGAUCGUAAAACUCUGUUAUUAGGGAAGAACAAAUUUGUAAGUAACUAUGCACGUCUUGACGGUACCUAAUCAGAAAGCCACGGCUAACUACGUG